UGGUUACAUCACAGAGUGGAGCGGGGCGUGUGGCUGGUUGGUUACAUCACAGAGUGGAGCGGGGCGUGUGGCUGGUUGGUUACAUCACUGAGUGGAGCGGGGUGUGUGGCUGGUUGGUUACAUCACAGAUGGAGCGGGGCGUGUGGCUGGUUGGUUACAUCACAGAGUGGAGCGGGGGGUGUGGCUGGUUGGUUACAUCACAGAGUGGAGCGGGGGUGUGGCUGGUUGGUUACAUCACAGAGUGGAGCGGGGCGUGUGGCUGGUUGGUUACAUCACAGAGUGGAGCGGGGUGUGGCUGGUUGGUUACAUCACAGAGUGGAGCGGGAUGUGUGGCUGGGGUCCCAGAUGACACAGGGGUUGAUGGACAGUUGUGCAGCAUUGCCUUCCUCUGCAGGCAGGUCC
Molecule: long non-coding RNA, 402 nt
Organism: Oncorhynchus tshawytscha (Chinook salmon)
Lineage: Eukaryota; Metazoa; Chordata; Actinopteri; Salmoniformes; Salmonidae
Source: Ensembl